This is a long non-coding RNA of Ruditapes philippinarum (Manila clam), 1262 nucleotides long. RefSeq lists it as uncharacterized. The transcript has 3 exons. Lineage: Eukaryota; Metazoa; Mollusca; Bivalvia; Venerida; Veneridae. The record is from RefSeq and is a predicted model, not a curated record.
ACUGUUCAUUUUACAUUUAAUGGCUGGCAAUAUCAACAGUUGCUGAAGUUACGAGAAAUCAGUAAUAAACGAUAAAGGAUUAAUAAUUUAUGACAUAGGUCAUAGCACUCGUCCAUGUCGUCUAAUAUUAAAGCUUAUCAUAAGUAUAGCACUAGCAGGUAAGAAUAAUUUCUUUACAUGAUUGCUAAUAAGUUCUGAGUUUCACAGCCCAUUGAAUAGAAAUGUCAUAUUUUAGGUAUGUAUAAUAAAAGCCAACACUUGUUAGUAUUCUUUUUUUUUCUUUACAUGUGUGUGUUUUUAUUUAUCUCGUGGCCACGAGAUAUUAUGUCGUGGUCACGAGAUAUUAUGUCGUGGUCACGAGAUACUAUGUCGUGGCCAUGAGUUACUAAGUCACAGUGACGCUAAAUGUAAAAUUAGCGACAAGUCAAUAAGUUGUAUAAAUUGCACUUUUACAGGCUGGUGAAGUAGGGGUAUCCUUGUACUACAGCACAUGUCUAGUUAAUUGGGGAAAGUAACAUAAAUGGUGUAAUCUGAUUGGUUAUUUAUCACGUGGCCACGACUUAGCUAUCUCGUGGCCAUGACAUAGUAUCUCGUGGCCACGACUUAGCUAUCUCGUGGCCACGACUUAGUAACUCGUGGCUACGACAUAGUAUCUCGUGGCCACGAGAAAAAAAAACACACACACACAUGUCACAUUUGUGCCACCGUAAAAAUCAUAUAAGAUCUAGAUAUAUUUUUAUCAAAGUAAUUUUAUUUCAAGCACAUCCAUGAAGCAAUUUUCGACUUUCUUUCAUUGCAGGUUCUUAUUGGACUUUGAUACCUCGCAAAAGGCGAUUUCAUAUCAGAAGUUGGAGACCUCCACGGGGUGUCUAAAGCCAGAGCUGCCAUUUACAUUCACCAAUUCAUACGAAGUGUAAACCUUCGAUUAAAGAAUAUUAGACACAUUUAGAACAAAGUAAUAAUGGAUUGUUAUUGGGGGAUAGUGGGUACCCUCUAAGGAGGUACAUGUACCUAUUGACCCCAAAGGUGAAUCGACAACACCACAAGAGGAAGCCUUCAAUAAACACCAUAGCAGAGGCAGAAUGGUGGUAGAAAAAGCCUUUGGUAUACUGAAGUCACGUUUCAGAUGCCUACACAAAAGUGGUGGUGUUCUACCGUUUUCACCAGAAAAGAGCAGCCAAGUUGUGGUAGCAUGUAUGAGGCUACAUAACUUUUGUAAAACUAGAGGAGUACAAGAGCCUGUGGAGAUCAUCACACAGGAU